UCCUACGGGAGGCAGCAGUGGGGAAUAUUGGACAAUGGGCGAAAGCCUGAUCCAGCCAUGCCGCGUGUGUGAAGAAGGUCUUCGGAUUGUAAAGCACUUUAAGUUGGGAGGAAGGGCCAUUACCUAAUACGUGAUGGUUUUGACGUUACCGACAGAAUAAGCACCGGCUAACUCUGUGCCAGCAGCCGCGGUAAUC
RNAcentral lists this ribosomal RNA (196 nucleotides) under uncultured Pseudomonas sp. RNAcentral's name for it is "partial 16S ribosomal RNA". It matches the Rfam family "Bacterial small subunit ribosomal RNA", at positions 337 to 525 of the family's 1533-position model. The record is from RNAcentral. Lineage: Bacteria; Pseudomonadati; Pseudomonadota; Gammaproteobacteria; Pseudomonadales; Pseudomonadaceae.